Molecule: ribosomal RNA, 488 nt
Filed under: uncultured bacterium
Lineage: Bacteria
Description: partial 16S ribosomal RNA
Rfam family: Bacterial small subunit ribosomal RNA
Source: RNAcentral
GACGAACGCUGGCGGCGUGCUUAACACAUGCAAGUCGAACGGAAAGGCCCUGCUUUUGUGGGGUGCUCGAGUGGCGAACGGGUGAGUAACACGUGAGUAACCUGCCCUUGACUUUGGGAUAACUUCAGGAAACUGGGGCUAAUACCGGAUAGGAGCUCCUGCUGCAUGGUGGGGGUUGGAAAGUUUCGGCGGUUGGGGAUGGACUCGCGGCUUAUCAGCUUGUUGGUGGGGUAGUGGCUUACCAAGGCUUUGACGGGUAGCCGGCCUGAGAGGGUGAUCGGCCACACUGGAAGUGAGACACGGUCCAGGGUCCUACGGGAGGCAGCAGAAGGGAAUCGUCCGCAGCGGGCGAAAGCCUGACGGAGCAACGCCGCGUCAGUGAUGAAGGUCUUCGGAUCGUAAAACUCUGUUAUUAGGGAAGAACAAAUGUGUAAGUAGCUGUGCACGUCGUGACGGUACCGGAUCAGAAAGCCCCGGCUAACUACGUG